UACGUAGGCAGCGAGCGUUGUUCGGAGUUACUGGGCGUAAAGGGUGUGUAGGCGGUUAUUUAAGUUUGGUGUGAAAUCUCCCGGCUCAACCGGGAGGGUGCGCCGAAUACUGAAUGACUUGGAGUGCGGGAGAGGUGAGUGGAAUUCCUGGUGUAGCGGUGAAAUGCGUAGAUAUCAGGAGGAACACCGGUGGCGAAGGCGGCAUCCUGGACCAACACUGACACUGAGGAGCGAAAGCCAGGGGAGCAAACGGG
This 254-nucleotide ribosomal RNA is filed under the name uncultured bacterium. RNAcentral describes it as "partial 16S ribosomal RNA". It matches the Rfam family "Bacterial small subunit ribosomal RNA", at positions 524 to 776 of the family's 1533-position model. The record is from RNAcentral.